RNAcentral lists this ribosomal RNA (253 nucleotides) under uncultured bacterium. Its description in RNAcentral is "partial 16S ribosomal RNA". It matches the Rfam family "Bacterial small subunit ribosomal RNA", at positions 524 to 776 of the family's 1533-position model. The record is from RNAcentral.
CACGUAGGGACCGAGCGUUGUCCGGAUUUAUUGGGCGUAAAGAGCUCGUAGGCGGUCCGUCACGUCGGCUGUGAAAACCCGAGGCUCAACCUCGGGCCUGCAGUCGAUACGGGCAGACUAGAGUGCGGUAGGGGAGACUGGAAUUCCUGGUGUAGCGGUGAAAUGCGCAGAUAUCAGGAGGAACACCCGGGGCGAAGGCGGCCCUCUGGCUCGACCCUGACGCUGAGGCGCGAAAGCGUGGGGAGCGAACGGG